AAACAUAUUCACCAUAUUUUUCGUAGCUAUCAACGGGAGUUUAAAUUAUGUAGCAGCAACAUGAUUACCAAUUUUGAGGAAGCACGGUAUAAUUUUCUCAAGAGCAACAUAUGGGUUUUGCGCACCGUUUCGAUCUCGUUGUUUUGUUUCAUCGCAUUAUGGAAUUCGGGCCUUCUUCGAAGUUCAGUAACGUGGAAGACAGUAACGUGGAAGAAGAGUAGUUCUUGGCAUAUAAGAUUGAGGUGUUGUGCAGCUCGAGUUCGGGGUGGGUGGUGUCGAAGAAGCGCCAAGAGAUUUGCAGAUUUGAGGACGUGAGGCGAAAGGCAAGCGAGUAAGCGAUAAGGUUGCUGCUGGAAGCUCCGUUGCUAAAUGUUUUUUUGUGGCGACACAUUAGGGUCGUCACAAUUAGUACCCUUUUGUGGCGACCAAACUUGCCACAAAAAGGAACAACGAAAAGUUUCACCAACUAGAUUAUUGGUGGGUCGCCACAGAAUAGUGGGGUUUAGUUGCGACGAAAGUCGCCCCUAAUUCUCCACGCUUUUAGGUCGCCGCAAAAGAGUUGAACUAUCUAGUGGCAAGUAUAGGGUCGCCACAAACUUGAAAAAAAAAUACAAUUAAUUGCUCAACAAUAUAAAAGUUGUUCACUACCCAUAAAAGACAACACAAACUCAAUAAGAGUAGCCUCAGAACUUUUUAAUGCCAUAAUAUAAAGUAAAUAUUUCAUUAAUACAUCAUCAUGGUAUUUACACAUGAAAAGAAAUCAUCAUUAUAAUAUCUUCAAACUCCUUGUUAACAAUUUCUAUUAUCGAGCAACUUUGUCCCUGUCAUCGAAAAAAGAAGAAGCAAAUAUUCACUUGGAUAAGUCAAAUAUUAAGCAAGAACGAAUUUGAGAAAUUCUAGCAUCAUCUUAAGAGAUAGUAAAACUUAAAAUGAAGUAAGCAACAUAAUAGAUUUACGCUAAUAGUCUUACUAACAUGAACGGACUACAUAACUUGUUUGACAGUGUAUUUAAUUGUUCUACAACUUACUUCAACCAUGAAACACUAUAAUGUAAGAAUAUCUCGUUAACGGUGUAUAUGCACCAAGUUAGCACAGUGCUCAUCCAGUUCGCACGAUUAUACAAAGAUCGUUAAGGGUACUUUGAUAACAAUUUUUUUUCUUUGGGUAUUUUGGUUCAUUGCCUCUUUUAUUGGGUAAUAUAGUUUCCGGACUCAAUUUAAGGGUGUAUUCGGAUAAACUUUUGUGCCGGAUGGGCAGCGAUUGCAAUUAAGUUCUAUGAGGGCAGAACCAAGUAAUAUUUUAUCUUUUAUGUUUUUUUCUUGUUGUUUUACUCAUAGUUGAUUUGAAGGCCUAAAAGUUUAAACCAUUAAGAUAGCUAAAAUUAAUUCAUAUCUUUUAGUUAUCAAAUGAAGUCUACUAAUCUCUGAAUUGGGAUGUUUGGAUUAACAAGUUCAAUUCAAAAAAAAAAAAAAAUCUAAUUUUACAUAGACAUUGCAAAUUUAUAACGACCAUUGUUGUGAAACUAGCUAUAAACUACAAUACAAAGUUAGAGUGUGUUUGGCCUAGCGGUUUUGAGGUCAAAAGCGUUUGUUUUCGAGAAAAACACUUAUUUUGGAUAUUUGAGGUGUUUGGCCAAUUAGUAAAACUGCUUUAAGUAAAGGCAGAAGCAGUUUUUCUGUGGUUCUUGAAAAAAGCAGAAGCAGAAGCAGAAAAUUAUUUUUUUCAAGAUAAAAAUAUCCCUGCCAUAAAUACCUAUUUAUCAAGUAUAUCCCUCAUUAAUCCAUUAAUAUCUAAUCAAUAACUCUUUGUGUCAAAUUUUAAUUUGUGGAAUGAUUUUGAAUUUUGUUUUGGUUGUAAUUUCUUAUUACAUUUAAAUCAUCAUGUUGAUAUUAUAUCAAUAUUUAAUAUUUGUUUUUAUAUAUCUAUGUAGUAUAUUUAAUAUUUUUGGUAACUAAAGCAUUUUAUUACCAGGGAAUAAGUGGAUACAUAGUGUUAGAGCCAUAACCCUCUAGAGUUGGACAUAAGCCCCAACUUCUAAUUCAUCUUACCUAGCUAGUCAACAACCACACAAUACAUUAAGCCACCUGACUACAAAAGAAAAACUACACACGCCUGAAAUGCACUAAGGUUUUUUUUUUUUUUUUUUUUUUAAUUUUAAUAUUAUUGAAUAAACAAUAAAGUACAUAUCAAAAGAGGCUGUACAGAAACAACCCUCACCUACCUGAAUGGAACACGCUCCAUUCAUUACAUAGUUGGUAGGAUUUCCAAAUAAGCUCACAAAAGAAUUGGGGGUAUCCCUAUGUACAUCAAAUCCAUCAAGGAACAUCAAAAGUAUAAAAUCUAUCUAUAUCCCUAUUCCUUUGAAUGGCUUUAUGAUUAUAUAUUGGCUUAAUACCUAGAUGGACCCUUAAACUUGACAUGUUUUGUAAGAUAGACAUAUAAACUUACAAGGUGACCAGAUAGACACUUAAACUUACUCAAAGUGUAUUUUUCAAGUUUUCCAGUUGUUUUGAAAACAAAAACUAUAUUUUUCAAACACUCACAAUUUUCAUGGCCAAACAAGCCCUAAAUAUAUCACAAAAUAUUUUUUUUAAAAUGCAAAAAUAAGGCAAACGCAUAUACAUGAGACUAUAAAUGUGCACUUAAACCAAUAAAUACUCGCUAAUCGCAAUUUUGCAGCUUUCAAUUAACUCGGUUUUUUUUUUACACUUGAAUAAUUAAAAAACAAUAACUUUAACCAAUAAAAAUCCUUAAAAAAAGAAAUUUCAA
Lycium barbarum (goji berry) is the source of this 2769-nucleotide long non-coding RNA. RefSeq lists it as uncharacterized. The record is from RefSeq and is a predicted model, not a curated record. The transcript is spliced from 3 exons. NCBI's taxonomy places the organism in Eukaryota, Viridiplantae, Streptophyta, Magnoliopsida, Solanales, Solanaceae.